This 252-nucleotide ribosomal RNA is filed under the name uncultured eukaryote. RNAcentral describes it as "partial 18S ribosomal RNA". The stretch from base 72 to 252 matches the Rfam family "Eukaryotic small subunit ribosomal RNA", at positions 737 to 919 of the family's 1831-position model. The record is from RNAcentral.
CUUAGCGCGAGUACUUGCAUCGUCUCCUGCCAUCCUUGGGGAGAGUUUGUCUGGCAUUAAGUUGUCGGGCAUAGGAUCCUCAUCGUUUACUGUGAAAAAAUUAGAGUGUUCAAAGCAGGCUUAUGCCGUUGAAUAUAUUAGCAUGGAAUAAUAAGAUAGGACUUUGGUACUAUUUUGUUGGUUUGCGCACCAAAGUAAUGAUUAAUAGGGACAGUUGGGGGUAUUCGUAUUCCGUUGUCAGAGGUGAAAUUC